GCGAACGUAGUUCAAAGGCAGAACACUUAGGUCGCCCACCUAAGAGAAUACGGGUCCGAUUCCCGUCGUUCGCUCCA
RNAcentral lists this transfer RNA (77 nucleotides) under Aliihoeflea sp. 40Bstr573. Its description in RNAcentral is "tRNA-Gly". It matches the Rfam family "tRNA". Rfam says of the family: Transfer RNA (tRNA) molecules are approximately 80 nucleotides in length. Their secondary structure includes four short double-helical elements and three loops (D, anti-codon, and T loops). The record is from RNAcentral. Lineage: Bacteria; Pseudomonadati; Pseudomonadota; Alphaproteobacteria; Hyphomicrobiales; Phyllobacteriaceae.